RNAcentral lists this ribosomal RNA (424 nucleotides) under uncultured bacterium. RNAcentral describes it as "bacterial SSU rRNA". It matches the Rfam family "Bacterial small subunit ribosomal RNA", at positions 355 to 776 of the family's 1533-position model. The record is from RNAcentral.
UGGGGAAUUUUGGACAAUGGGGGCAACCCUGAUCCAGCGACGCCGCGUGAAGGAUGAAGGCCUUCGGGUUGUAAACUUCUUUUAGAGGGGAUGAAUGGGUUAGUGAAUAACUAACUGUGACAGUACCCUUUGAAUAAGCCACGGCUAACUACGUGCCAGCAGCCGCGGUAAUACGUAGGUGGCAAGCGUUACUCGGAAUCACUAGGCGUAAAGCGCAGGUAGGCGGUUGGAUAAGUUUCUUGUGAAAGCUCCCGGCUUAACUGGGAGAGGCCAAGGAAUACUGUUCGACUAGAGUGUGGUAGGGGAAACUGGAAUUCCCGGUGUAGCGGUGAAAUGCGUAGAUAUCGGGAGGAAUACCUAUGGCGAAAGCAAGUUUCUGGGCCAUCACUGACGCUGAGCUGCGAAAGCUAGGGGAGCAAACAGG